UCGUGCGGUCACAGGGAUCGGCUUGCUGAUUCGUCUAACGAGCGGCGGACGGGUGAUUCUUGUCUGGGAAACUGCCUGAUGGAGGGGGAUAACUACUGGAAACGGUAGCUAAUACCGCAUAACGUCGCAUGACCAAAGAGGGGGACCUUCGGGCCUCUUGCCAUCGGAUAUGCCCAGAUGGGAUUAGCUAGUAGGUGAGGUAAAGGCUCACCUAGGCGACGAUCCCUAGCUGGUCUGAGAGGAUGACCAGCCACACUGGAACUGAGACACGGUCCAGACUCCUACGGGAGGCAGCAGUGGGGAAUAUUGCACAAUGGGCGCAAGCCUGAUGCAGCCAUGCCGCGUGUAUGAAGAAGGCCUUCGGGUUGUAAAGUACUUUCAGCGGGGAGGAAGGUGUUGUGGUUAAUAACCGCAGCAAUUGACGUUACCCGCAGAAGAAGCACCGGCUAACUCCGUGCCAGCAGCCGCGGUAAUACGGAGGGUGCAAGCGUUAAUCGGAAUUACUGGGCGUAAAGCGCACGCAGGCGGUUUGUUAAGUCAGAUGUGAAAUCCCCGGGCUCAACCUGGGAACUGCAUUUGAAACUGGCAAGCUGGAGUCUCGUAGAGGGAGGUAGAAUUCCAGGUGUAGCGGUGAAAUGCGUAGAGAUCUGGAGGAAUACCGGUGGCGAAAGCGGCCUCCUGGACGAAGACUGACGCUCAGGUGCGAAAGCGUGGGGAGCAAACAGGAUUAGAUACCCUGGUAGUCCACGCUGUAAACGAUGUCGAUUUGGAGGUUGUGCCCUUGAGGCGUGGCUUCCGGAGCUAACGCGUUAAAUCGAACCGCCUGGGGGAGUACGGCCGCCAAGGUUAAAACUCCAAUGGAAUUGACGGGGGGCCCCGCCAAAACCGGGGGAACCUUGUGGUUUUAAUUCCAAUGCAACCCCCAAAAAACCUUUACCUGGGUCUUGAAAUUCC
This 954-nucleotide ribosomal RNA is filed under the name Cronobacter sp. RNAcentral describes it as "bacterial SSU rRNA". It matches the Rfam family "Bacterial small subunit ribosomal RNA", at positions 62 to 990 of the family's 1533-position model. The record is from RNAcentral. Lineage: Bacteria; Pseudomonadati; Pseudomonadota; Gammaproteobacteria; Enterobacterales; Enterobacteriaceae.